Gasterosteus aculeatus (three-spined stickleback) is the source of this 54-nucleotide regulatory RNA element. It matches the Rfam family "UnaL2 LINE 3' element". From Rfam's summary of the family: The eel long interspersed element (LINE) UnaL2 and its partner short interspersed element (SINE) share a conserved 3' tail containing a stem-loop that is critical for their retrotransposition. The record is from Rfam. Lineage: Eukaryota; Metazoa; Chordata; Actinopteri; Perciformes; Gasterosteidae.
CAAUGGGUUUAAUGUAAGUUGCUUUGGAUAAAAGCGUCUGCUAAAUGACAUGUA